AGCGGGUGCGCGCGAGGCACGGACGUAACCUCGGCCGGGCCCCAGACAAAAGCAAUCCCCUGCCGAGCCUGGCGCCUCGUUGGUUGUCUGAGCCUUGGGCUGGCUCUCGCCGGCGGGCAGGCCUUCUAAGAGCGGACCUCGGGGGAGCGAGGCUGGCUCAGCACUUCGAGUCUCCUCUUGCAGCCCUCGGGUGCGGCCGGCCGCCCCACUGAAGGCGCUGGGGAACCUAGAGGUGGCUUAGAAAGCUGCGUGGGUGGCAGAACGGCGGCUACUAUGAGAGCUCGCCGUAGGCGAAGAGGGAGGUAUCCUGUCCCGCCAAUUCUUAGCCGCUGGCUUCCUCAGUCGACUCUCCUUGAAGGAGGAUUUCCACCUCACCUGUGCUUUAGGAUUCCAUCUCCAGUCAUAGCCUACAAGAGGAUCCUCACAAGCGAAGCUUAGGAGUCUGAGGCAGGGCAGCUGGAGUGGAGAUACCUGGCUUUUCUUCCUCCUGCUGUCCCACGGUUUUGUGGCCUUAAGCUCCCUCGUCACGAGCGCUGCUUUUAGAUGAAAAGCAUCUAUCUCCUUAGCAAACGAGAAUACGUUCCACCUGAAUCACGGUCCGUUGACGCGGUGAUUUUCAUUUCAGUAUUCGUGGAAUUGUGACAUUUCUUCAGAAUUCAUCCUGGAAUCAAAUGUUAUGCCAAAGAAAAAUUUCUGAAAGGGUUUUCAGCAUGAAAACUGCAAGAAUUUCUAUUAACCCUCUGAGACAACAUAAAAAAUAGGUAAGCAUCUGGCUUUCAUUAUGAUAUGAUGGAGUUAAAACUUUA
Cebus imitator (Panamanian white-faced capuchin) is the source of this 806-nucleotide long non-coding RNA. RefSeq lists it as uncharacterized. The transcript has 3 exons. The record is from RefSeq and is a predicted model, not a curated record. NCBI's taxonomy places the organism in Eukaryota, Metazoa, Chordata, Mammalia, Primates, Cebidae.